Molecule: non-coding RNA, 1106 nt
Organism: Pelobates cultripes (western spadefoot toad)
Lineage: Eukaryota; Metazoa; Chordata; Amphibia; Anura; Pelobatidae
Source: the annotation of a GenBank genome assembly
AAAAAAGUCUUUAAAAAUCUCUAACAAAACUAUAGAUCUCUAAAUAUGUUCAUUAUUAAUUUUUAAGAUUAUACAUAUUUAAUCUAGCUAACCUCCAAAAAUUAUAAAUCCUGUUUCAUCAGAUUAUUUGUUGCAUUAUACUAAAAGAAGGCCAAUAACUUCCUGGUAGAAAGUUAAGGCUCCCUGAAUACUUUGGAGACAGGUUUGUGGCUCUAUAUACUGAAUUAAGGGAAAUAGCAAUUUAUAUUCAGGUGAGUCUCUCCUUUCUGCCAGUGAUCUGGUUCUCUGUAUAAUAUUCAGGUGAGUCUCUCCUUUCUGCCAGUGAACUGGUUCUCUGUUGUGGCGAAACCGACCUCGACACUGGGUAUUGGAGAAGACUGAUUGCCAGCCUCCGGCCAUGUGACACUGGCCCCUGGGAUGUAUUGCCCUUUAAAGACAUUAUUUGGGCGUAUUGUAUUUUAUUGUGCUGUUUCUGGCCUGUUAAGUACUUUGGGAAAGGACCUGCAGUUUUGGCAUGGCACUUUGGAUGCAGCCGAAGAAGUUGAAUCAUUCAAAUGCAGUCAGCGGUGUGUGCCGUCAAACUCAUGGAACUAAAAUCAGCUACAGAACGGCACGAACACCGCUGAAGUUUUACCUUCCCUGGAACUAAUGCAUUCGACAAUUCUAAUGGUGGUUGUUUGUCUGAACUGACUUUAACAUUGGAAAUAGACCGACCGCAGAGCCCAAAUCCAUGGAACUGUUUUGGGCAUGGAAAUGUGCUUGCGGUCGGUCAUAAAAGGACUUCCAGCUAACUUUUUAACCUCUGGAUGGAAUUGGCUGAAUUUUGACUGUUUAAAAUUAAAGUGUGCUGAAUAAUAUGUCAUUUUUAUGAAGAUUGAAUGUAUAUUUUUAAAGUUUUAUAGUACAUGUGUAAAAACUGUAUUUCUCUGCCUGUGAUAAUUACAUUAACCCAUUGUGUAAGGUAAUUGUAUCACAGGCAGAGGCGAGGAUUUUGUGUCUGAGUGUAUUGUACGUAUUGAUUGGUUGUACUUCAAAACCCUGUGGGCGGUACUAUGGUUGAGGAAUGGGCAUAAAUGCAGAGUUUUUGAAUAAAAGCUCAGUUCUAC